This 274-nucleotide ribosomal RNA is filed under the name uncultured bacterium. RNAcentral describes it as "partial 16S ribosomal RNA". It matches the Rfam family "Bacterial small subunit ribosomal RNA", at positions 523 to 796 of the family's 1533-position model. The record is from RNAcentral.
AUACGGAGGGUGCAAGCGUUAUUCGGAAUUACUGGGCGUAAAGGGCGCGUAGGCGGCGCAUUAAGUCAGUUGUGAAAGCCCGGGGCUCAACCCCGGAAGUGCAAUUGAAACUGGUGUGCUUGAGUAUGGUAGAGGGAAGUGGAAUUCCUGGUGUAGCGGUGAAAUGCGUAGAUAUCAGGAGGAACACCCGUGGCGAAGGCGACUUCCUGGACCAAUACUGACGCUGAGGCGCGAAGGCGUGGGGAGCAAACAGGAGUAGAAACCCUUGUAGUCC